AGGACGAACGCUGGCGGCGUGCUUAACACAUGCAAGUCGAACGAGAUCCAUUCAGUAGCAAUACUGAUGAAGAUCUAGUGGCGAACGGGUGCGUAACACGUGAGGAACUUGUCCCGGUCUCUGGGAUAACAGUUGGAAACGACUGCUAAUACCGGAUGACGUCGGAACUUCGCAUGGAGUACUGACGAAAGGGUUACUGGAUCGGGAGAGCCUCGCGGCCUAUCAGCUUGUUGGUGGGGUAAUGGCCUACCAAGGCAUCGACGGGUAGCUGGUCUGAGAGGAUGAUCAGCCACACUGGGACUGAGACACGGCCCAGACUCCUACGGGAGGCAGCAGUGGGGAAUCUUGCACAAUGGGCGAAAGCCUGAUGCAGCAACGCCGCGUGCGGAAGAAGGCCCGUCGGUUGUAAACCGCUUUACAGAAGGAACGAAACUGACGUACUUUACGAGAAGAAGGUGCGGCCAACUACGUGCCAGCAGCCGACGUAAUC
This 490-nucleotide ribosomal RNA is filed under the name uncultured soil bacterium. RNAcentral describes it as "bacterial SSU rRNA". It matches the Rfam family "Bacterial small subunit ribosomal RNA", at positions 26 to 525 of the family's 1533-position model. The record is from RNAcentral.